This is a non-coding RNA of Megalobrama amblycephala (Wuchang bream), 729 nucleotides long. Lineage: Eukaryota; Metazoa; Chordata; Actinopteri; Cypriniformes; Xenocyprididae. The record is from the annotation of a RefSeq genome assembly.
UCUGUCUGGUGUUGAUUUGAUUUGAAGAUUUAAUGCAAUUUGAAAUGCAUGUAUUAUUACAGAUCCUAAAAAUUAUUCAGAUUCAAAGAAAAUUGAAUAACAAUAUUGUUUCAAAUCAGUCAGAAAUCAGUCAAGAAUAUUUGAAUCCAUUUUCUCAGUUCAGUUUUACCACAGUUUUGCCUUUGUAUGCAAAUUACAUGAUUUAGGGAGGGUCAGUGUAACAAACUCUAAAAGUACUUGCUAUAAAACCAAGUUCUCCGUCAUUGCUUGUGUCCUGCAGCUGCAGUGCAACUGAAUAUCAUUAUCAUUAUCAUUAUCAUAUUUUACAGUUUUGGGGUGAUAAUGGAAAUGCUACUGUAUGGAGUUCUGCUGUUGAUUAUUUCAUGUGUUAGUGGUCAGUCUUUGACCUCCUCAGAUUUUGAGGUGAAAAGACCAGGAGAAUCAGUCACUCUGUCCUGCAGUGUGUCUGGAAUCUCAAUGAGCAGCUACUACAUGCACUGGAUCCGUCAGAAACCAGGGAGAGGACUGGAGUGGAUUGGGUAUAUAGAUAGUGGCACAACUGCAUAUUAUGCUCAGUCUCUACAAGGCCAGUUCUCCAUCACAAAAGACACCAGCAAAAACAUGCUGUAUUUAGAGGUGAAAAGCCUGAAGACUGAAGACACGGCUGUUUAUUACUGUGCAAGAGAUUCACAGUUACACAAAAGACUGCAGGGCUGAACAAAAACUAUU